Pocillopora damicornis (cauliflower coral) is the source of this 755-nucleotide long non-coding RNA. Lineage: Eukaryota; Metazoa; Cnidaria; Anthozoa; Scleractinia; Pocilloporidae. The record is from RefSeq and is a predicted model, not a curated record.
UGUAAUGGACAGUAGCACCCAUUCCGCUCGCAUUUUUUCCGUUUACUUUUAAUUAUAAUUUCUUUCCAGCUUAAAUCAAUCUUUUGAGUAUAUAUGGAAUCAAGGCGAAGAUUACAAUGUAUUUCUUGUCAAGACUGGUAUUUAACUGUUUUGUCUUGAUGAAGUAGCCAGCACUUCAGAAACUAGUAACCUGUGAAAACCCUUACAUGGACUGUCCCAAUAAGGUGCUGUUGCUGUUUACUUGUCAUUUCACUUCAUAUAUUAAAAAAAAAGAACAAAUAAACUGAAUUUUGAUACCCACAGUUAAAAGUAUACUGUUAUUUGUGUUUCAUGAGUAACCAGGUUCAGUUCAAUGAUCUUUCAAUAAGUUACUUGUGCAGUUGAUAUUUGUAACUGUUAUUCACUCUCCAAGCAGCAAGAGUCGUAUGGAAGCAAUGGGAUGUAACUACUUCCAGUGAAAAGAAUAUCAUGGAGUGGGUUUUCUUUCUUGGUGAGCCUUAUAAUAUGUGUCGUUGGAAAAGAGAAAUGAAAAAAGAGAUCCUCAGAUCCUGAAGCAGAAUAAAUAUUUGGAUCCCUCUUUAUAAAGAACUAAUGGGUGGUUCGAAAGCUAACAUUCAUAAUGUCAGAAAUUGUUGGUUGGAAAACAUCCAAAAAGUAACUAAAAAGUUUAAGUGCGAAUAAUUAAAUUUAAAUUCUAUUCAACAAGAGAUGAAAAGUUCAUAGCAGUAUCCAAAUAAAUCUUCCAAGACUCUUCA